UGGGGAAUUUUGGUCAAUGGGCGCAAGCCUGAACCAGCAACGCCGCGUGGGUGAUGAAGGCCUUCGGGUUGUAAAGCCCUGUCGGGAGGGACGAAACGGCAGCUUAACAAACUGCUUUGACGGUACCUUCAAAGGAAGCACCGGCUAACUCUGUGCCAGCAGCCGCGGUAAUACAGAGGGUGCAAGCGUUGUUCGGAAUUACUGGGCGUAAAGCGCGUGUAGGCGGUUUUUCAAGUCUUGUGUGAAAGCCCUGGGCUUAACCCAGGAAGUGCGCAAGAUACUGGAGAGCUGGAGUGUCGGAGAGGAUGGCGGAAUUCCCGGUGUAGAGGUGAAAUUCGUAGAUAUCGGGAGGAACACCUGUGGCGAAGGCGGCCAUCUGGACGAUAACUGACGCUGAGACGCGAAAGCAUGGGGAGCAAACAGGAUUAGAUACCCCCGUAGUCC
RNAcentral lists this ribosomal RNA (444 nucleotides) under uncultured bacterium. Its description in RNAcentral is "bacterial SSU rRNA". It matches the Rfam family "Bacterial small subunit ribosomal RNA", at positions 355 to 796 of the family's 1533-position model. The record is from RNAcentral.